GCUAGCAUAGUCCAGUAGUUUGAGCAUUGGACUAUGACUCUAGAGACCAGGGUUCAAAUCCCGGCUUGGCA
Non-coding RNA from Phrynosoma platyrhinos (Desert horned lizard), 71 nucleotides. Lineage: Eukaryota; Metazoa; Chordata; Lepidosauria; Squamata; Phrynosomatidae. The record is from the annotation of a GenBank genome assembly.